AUUUAACGAUGUCACUAGCUGUUGGGGCCUUCGGGCCUUAGUAGCGCAGCUAACGCGUGAAGUUGACCGCCUGGGGAGUACGGUCGCAAGAUUAAAACUCAAAGGAAUUGACGGGGACCCGCACAAGCGGUGGAUGAUGUGGAUUAAUUCGAUGCAACGCGAAAAACCUUACCUACCCUUGACAUGUCUGGAAUUCCGAAGAGAUUCGGAAGUGCUCGCAAGAGAACCGGAACACAGGUGCUGCAUGGCUGUCGUCAGCUCGUGUCGUGAGAUGUUGGGUUAAGUCCCGCAACGAGCGCAACCCUUGUCAUUAGUUGCUACGAAAGGGCACUCUAAUGAGACUGCCGGUGACAAACCGGAGGAAGGUGGGGAUGACGUCAAGUCCUCAUGGCCCUUAUGGGUAGGGCUUCACACGUCAUACAAUGGUCGGGACAGAGGGUCGCCAACCCGCGAGGGGGAGCCAAUCCCAGAAACCCGAUCGUAGUCCGGAUCGCAGUCUGCAACUCGACUGCGUGAAGUCGGAAUCGCUAGUAAUCGCGGAUCAGCAUGUCGCGGUGAAUACGUUCCCGGGUCUUGUACACACCGCCCGUCACACCAUGGGAGUGGGUUUUACCAGAAGUAGUUAGCCUAACCGCAAGGGGGGCGAUUACCACGGUAGGAUUCAUGACUGGGGUGAAGUCGUACAAA
Molecule: ribosomal RNA, 687 nt
Filed under: endophytic bacterium
Lineage: Bacteria
Description: bacterial SSU rRNA
Rfam family: Bacterial small subunit ribosomal RNA
Source: RNAcentral